AGCAGCCGCGGUAAUUCCAGCUCCAAUAGCGUAUAUUAAAGUUGUUGCAGUUAAAAAGCUCGUAGUUGAAUUUCGGGAUCAAUGCGUCGGUCGUGCUUUCGGGUACGUACUGGUGUCAUUGGUUUCUCCUUUCUGACGAACCUUGAUGUCAUUAAUUUGGUGUCUUGGGAAAUCAGGACUGUUACUUUGAAAAAAUUAGAGUGUUUAAAGCAGGCUCACGCUUGAAUACAUUAGCAUGGAAUAAUGAAAUAGGACGUUUGAUUCUAUUUUGUUGGUUUCUAGGAUCGACGUAAUGAUUAAUAGGGAUAGUUGGGGGCAUUAGUAUUCAAUUGUCAGAGGUGAAAUUCUUGGAUUUAUUGAAGACUAACUACUGCGAAAGCAUUUGCCAAGGAUGUUUUCAUUAAUCAAGAACGAAAGUUAGGGGAUCGAAGACGAUCAGAUACCGUCGUAGUCUUAACCAUAAACUAUGCCGACUAGGGAUCGGAUGAUGUUAAUUUUUUUAAUGACUCAUUCGGCGCCU
This 520-nucleotide ribosomal RNA is filed under the name uncultured Glomus. RNAcentral's name for it is "SSU rRNA". It matches the Rfam family "Eukaryotic small subunit ribosomal RNA", at positions 569 to 1088 of the family's 1831-position model. The record is from RNAcentral. Lineage: Eukaryota; Fungi; Glomeromycota; Glomeromycetes; Glomerales; Glomeraceae.